CACGUAGGGCGCAAGCGUUGUCCGGAAUUAUUGGGCGUAAAGAGCUCGUAGGUGGUUUGUUACGUCUGCUGUGAAAACCUAGGGCUCAACCUUGGGCUUGCAGUGGGUACGGGCAGACUAGAGUGCGGUAGGGGUGACUGGAAUUCCUGGUGUAGCGGUGGAAUGCGCAGAUAUCAGGAGGAACACCUGUGGUGUAGACAGCUUACUGGACCAUUUCUGACGCUGAGACACGAAAGCGUGGGUAGCAAACAGG
Molecule: ribosomal RNA, 253 nt
Filed under: uncultured bacterium
Lineage: Bacteria
Description: partial 16S ribosomal RNA
Rfam family: Bacterial small subunit ribosomal RNA
Source: RNAcentral